ACGCUUUUUGGAUGGCUGCAGCCUAGGAAUACUAUGCAGCCGAAAUGAGAGCACUUCAUAAGGCGGUGUAGGGCCCUCAAUCGAUGGUGGUGGCUGCAUCUAUUGGUAGAAUUAAGUAGGUUUUGAAGAGAUAGAGUCUAAACACAACUGAAAACAAAUGAGAGUGAUGUUGAAGAAGGAGUUGGGUUUCAUGGUGCUGUUGAUAAGUUGGAUCUACCAUAUUAUUCUCUCCUAAUGGAUAUAGAUCAUGGAAAGUUUGAUGUUGAUGUCAAUACCCAUUUCAAAGGGAGGCAGGAAUAUCGUGCAUCCUAUUUAAGAGAUACAAUAGGAAGACAAUUGUCUUCACCUUAGAGAAACUCUCCUGCACUAUAGCAAAUGAUUAUGUGAUUUGGAUUUGUAAUUGUGGUGAUUAUACCACUUCUUAUUAGUACUUUUAUGUAUAUACAAGCCAGGUUAUGGUGAAAAAAUAUUUAGUUAUAUAGGUCCUAAUAUGUAACAGGUGGUUCCUUUGUUUAUAUUGUAAGCUUUUUGGUUGUGUAUAAAUUUG
This 547-nucleotide long non-coding RNA is filed under the name Helianthus annuus (common sunflower). RNAcentral's name for it is "hypothetical non coding rna". Lineage: Eukaryota; Viridiplantae; Streptophyta; Magnoliopsida; Asterales; Asteraceae. The record is from RNAcentral.